GAGCCUGUAGCUCAGUCGGUAGAGCAUCUGACUUUUAAUCAGAGGGUCCCGGGUUCGAAUCCCGGCGGGCUCAC
This 74-nucleotide transfer RNA is filed under the name Vitreimonas silvestris. RNAcentral describes it as "Caulobacteraceae bacterium 0127_4 tRNA-Lys". It matches the Rfam family "tRNA". Rfam says of the family: Transfer RNA (tRNA) molecules are approximately 80 nucleotides in length. Their secondary structure includes four short double-helical elements and three loops (D, anti-codon, and T loops). Lineage: Bacteria; Pseudomonadati; Pseudomonadota; Alphaproteobacteria; Hyphomonadales; Hyphomonadaceae. The record is from RNAcentral.